GAGGACACACCUGUUCCCAUACNGAACACAGAAGUUAAGCUCUAUAGCGCCGAAAGUAGUUGGAGGAUCGCUUCCUGCGAGGAUAGGACGAUGCGGUGC
RNAcentral lists this ribosomal RNA (99 nucleotides) under Leuconostoc pseudomesenteroides. Lineage: Bacteria; Bacillati; Bacillota; Bacilli; Lactobacillales; Lactobacillaceae. The record is from RNAcentral.